RNAcentral lists this ribosomal RNA (453 nucleotides) under uncultured bacterium. RNAcentral's name for it is "bacterial SSU rRNA". It matches the Rfam family "Bacterial small subunit ribosomal RNA", at positions 8 to 507 of the family's 1533-position model. The record is from RNAcentral.
AGAGUUUGAUCCUGGCUCAGAACGAACGCUGGCGGCAUGCCUAACACAUGCAAGUCGAACGAGACCUUCGGGUCUAGUGGCGCACGGGUGCGUAACGCGUGGGAAUCUGCCCUUGGGUUCGGAAUAACAGUUAGAAAUGACUGCUAAUACCGGAUAAUGUCUUCGGACCAAAGAUUUAUCGCCUUUAGAUGGGCCCGCGUUGGAUUAGCUAGUUGGUGGGGUAAAGGCCUACCAAGGCGACGAUCCAUAGCUGGUCUGAGAGGAUGAUCAGCCACACUGGGACUGAGACACGGCCCAGACUCCUACGGGAGGCAGCAGUGGGGAAUAUUGGACAAUGGGCGAAAGCCUGAUCCAGCAAUGCCGCGUGAGUGAUGAAGGCCUUAGGGUUGUAAAGCUCUUUUACCCGAGAUGAUAAUGACAGUAUCGGGAGAAUAAGCUCCGGCUAACUCCGUG